GAUGCUCUCAUGAUCAGUUUUGAUGAAAAAAGUGCCUUGCUCUAGAUAAUGUAUCUAUUUAGAGACGGCAAAGGUAAUAGCCAGCAGUUCUUUCUCAUAAACUGAAAGUGCUUGAGUUCUUGGCCCAAAAGGUUUAGAAAUAUAAGCUAUAGGAUGGCCUUGCUGCUGUAAAAUUUCCCCAUGCCCUAAUUGCUAGCAUUAGUUUCUACCACAAAUGGUUUUGUAAGAUUUGGAAGAGCUAGAUCAGGCAGGAGCUUGUGCCAUAGCUAGAACAUCCAGCUCAGCCGACCUCAUAGCUUACUGACCAACUACCAUGGAUCUAGCCAUGAUUUCAACUCCUACCAACUAGGAAUGAAACAAUACCCACUUGUACCGACUCUGAUGCCAAAUGUUAGGGUUUUGGAAACCUAAUAGAGCAUGAAAAGGAAAUUGAAGCAAUUGGAAGAAAUUAGAGUGAGAAAGGACUAGAAUAGGAAGGAAGAAAGAAAGCUUUAUUCCAGAUAUUUCUUGAAUUAUAUCUUUACAAAAGUAUCUUCCUUAUAUAGAAAUUGCCAGUUCAGUGGCAACUGCUUGCAGCCCCUUGUAGCUACUGUUAACUAGCUUCUCAACAGAAUAACUAUAUCCCUUAUGACAACUACCCGAGAUACACUUAUUCUUACACAUUUUCAUUUUCCUUCUCCUCUACUCAGCUUUUCAAUCACUUUUUAUCUACUCAGCUAUACUCAUUUCCCUUUAUUCUUUCUUUCUAUAUCUCCUCCUGUAAUAUGUAACAAAAUUUUACCGUAUACCUAUGAAGUUCUCCCUUUUUAUAUUAAGAGUAUAUAUCUUGUCUAGUUGCUGACUAUAUAAAUUGCAUUUGUUUUCUAUAUUUUAUGAUAGAAAUAAAAUUGCAUGUAAUUUUCAUGAUUUUUGUCCUGUUCUGUGUUUUUAUAAUUAAGUCAAAAAAAAAAAAAAAAGCAAUCAAGAAAGUAAUGGUUACUUUAUAUGAGUAAUAUGGUAUGAAUAUGAUUGUUGAUUUUUCCUUGAGGAUGAUAUGGAGAAAUUUAAAUGUGUCAAUAGCUGCUAUGGAAUGUCCCCCAAAACUGUGUAGUUCAGAAAUCAAUUUACAAAAAAGAAAAAAAAAAAAAUCCUUAAAUCCCAUCAUUUGAUCACUGAAUAAAUUGACAUUGAGCUCCAAAAUCUCUCCAUGAAUUAGUUUGAGCCUUGGAGUGUACCGUUAAAAAUGCUUCAUAUUCUAUUUUUUGUGCCCUAAUCUGUGGGUCUAUUGGAUGUCCCGCUGAGCACAGGCAGCACAACAAGGGUUGCCUGUAUUCUUUCUUAGUUUCGUCCCAGUCCAACAAGCAACAACAAUUCUUCUUUUCUAGAAGGUUGCUACUUGCCUGAGUGUCCAAUCCUUGAACUUCACUGCCCUUGAGCACUUAUGCUGUGUGUGGGAGAGGGGGGAAAGAGAAGGGGAGAGAAAAUGGGGCUAUGGGUCUACAUGUGAAGAAGCAAAUUUGUGGGUCCCUUGACCCAUUCUCUCCCCCUCUCCUUUCUCCCCGCUCCCAAAUACAACAUUAAAGUUGAGGCAAGGAAUACUAGGCCACUGGACAGUUUUUUGCUUUGUCACCUUUUCCAUAUUGCAUCUCCCUUGCAACUUGCAAUUCCAUCUGAACUACAGGUUAAUUGUUGUUGAUUAGUUUAUCAUUUUUCCUUCAUGAUAAAAAUUGGUGGCGUGCACUCUUUAAGUUGUCUAUUUUGCAACUCAAGACCAAAAAUUAAAUAAUCUUAAUUGACCAAUUCUAGUCUAUGAUCAAAAUUUGUACUAUUUUGAUCUUAUCAUAGCAUUUAACUACGAUCAG
Molecule: unclassified non-coding RNA, 1841 nt
Filed under: Hevea brasiliensis (rubber tree)
Lineage: Eukaryota; Viridiplantae; Streptophyta; Magnoliopsida; Malpighiales; Euphorbiaceae
Source: RNAcentral